RNAcentral lists this ribosomal RNA (460 nucleotides) under uncultured bacterium. Its description in RNAcentral is "partial 16S ribosomal RNA". It matches the Rfam family "Bacterial small subunit ribosomal RNA", at positions 338 to 795 of the family's 1533-position model. The record is from RNAcentral.
CCUACGGGAGGCAGCAGUGAGGAAUAUUGGUCAAUGGGCGGAAGCCUGAACCAGCCACGUAGCGUGCAGGAUGAAGGCCCUACGGGUUGUAAACUGCUUUUCUACGGGAAUAAGGCGACUUACGUUUAGGGCUUUGCAUGUACAGUAUGAAUCCAGACCGGCUAAUUUCGUUCCAGGAGCCGAGGUAAUACGGAAGGUCCGGGCGUUAUCCGGAUUUAUUGGGUGUAAAGGGAGCGUAGGCCGGAUGUCAACCGUGCUGUGAAAUGUCCGGGCUCAACCCGGGCCUUGCAGCGCGACCUGGCGUGCUUGAGUCCACAGAAGGCAGGCGGAAUUCGACGUGUAGCGGUGAAAUGCUUAGAUAUGACGAAGAACCCCGAUUGCGAAGGCAGCUUGCUGCAGCGGAACUGACGCUGAUGCUCGAAAGCACGGGUAUCGAACAGGAUUAGAUACCCGGGUAGUC